This 497-nucleotide ribosomal RNA is filed under the name uncultured bacterium. RNAcentral's name for it is "partial 16S ribosomal RNA". It matches the Rfam family "Bacterial small subunit ribosomal RNA", at positions 28 to 507 of the family's 1533-position model. The record is from RNAcentral.
GACGAACGCUGGCGGCGUGCCUAAUACAUGCAAGUUGAGCGCUGAAGGUUGGUACUUGUACCAACUGGAUGAGCAGCGAACGGGUGAGUAACGCGUGGGGAAUCUGCCUUUGAGCGGGGGACAACAUUUGGAAACGAAUGCUAAUACCGCAUAAAAACUUUAAACACAAGUUUUAAGUUUGAAAGAUGCAAUUGCAUCACUCAAAGAUGAUCCCGCGUUGUAUUAGCUAGUUGGUGAGGUAAAGGCUCACCAAGGCGAUGAUACAUAGCCGACCUGAGAGGGUGGUCGGCCACAUUGGGACUGAGACACGGCCCAAACUCCUACGGGAGGCAGCAGUAGGGAAUCUUCGGCAAUGGACGAAAGUCUGACCGAGCAACGCCGCGUGAGUGAAGAAGGUUUUCGGAUCGGAAAACUCUGUUGGUGGGGAAGAACGUUGGUGAGAGUGGAAAGCUCAUCAAGUGACGGUAACUACCCAGAAAGGGACGGCUAACUACGUG